Molecule: ribosomal RNA, 319 nt
Filed under: uncultured bacterium
Lineage: Bacteria
Description: partial 16S ribosomal RNA
Rfam family: Bacterial small subunit ribosomal RNA
Source: RNAcentral
UGGGGAAUAUUGGACAAUGGGCGAAANCCUGAUCCAGCCAUGCCGCGUGUGUGAAGAAGGUCUUCGGAUUGUAAAGCACUUUAAGUUGGGAGGAAGGGCAGUUACCUAAUACGUGAUUGUUUUGACGUUACCGACAGAAUAAGCACCGGCUAACUCUGUGCCAGCAGCCGCGGUAAUACAGAGGGUGCAAGCGUUAAUCGGAAUUACUGGGCGUAAAGCGCGCGUAGGUGGUUAGUUAAGUUGGAUGUGAAAUCCCCGGGCUCAACCUGGGAACUGCAUUCAAAACUGACUGACUAGAGUAUGGUAGAGGGUGGUGGAA